CUCUAUCAUUAUUUCCUUUUAUUUCCACAGUAGCCUCUGAAGCAACUGUGAUCAGCUCCCUUUUCUAGAUGAGGAAAAGAAUCAGAGAGGCUAAGUGACCAGCCAAGGUCACACAGCUAAUGUAUAGCAGUCUGGGAUUCAAAGGCAGGCCUUCCAAAUCCAAAUGCCACACACUUUCUGUGGCAUUAUAGCCCCUUCUCACAAGUGUGUUAGUUUUCCUAGAACUUAGACCCCUAAGCAAUUCUUAUAUUUGCUCCCCACCAACCUUCCCAUCCACCAAAAUUGAGGAUCCCCUUUCCAGCUUCAAAUAACAAUACUCUAGUGAUGCUGGUGAUUCACCUGGGCCUCUGUUUGAUGUGGGAAAAUGCUAGGCAAUGCGUUUGGACAUUGCAUUUUAUUUAAGCUAGUGUGAUUGAUUACAUAGUAUUUCUUAACUGCAUUAUGCCUGAUUCUCCUCUCAUUCUCUGGGCUCAGAGUGAAAGAAAGCGUCCCUCUGCAAACCCUUGGGUUUAUCCUCCUUGAUGGGGAGGACCUGGUUUAUACUUUUCAGUAAGCAGGUGAGAACGAGUGUCCUUGAAGCCAACAAGGGCAGGAUCUCUGACUCUCCUUCGCUUACCAGAUCUGCCUCCCAGCAUCUCUCGAAUCAGCCCAUGCCUCUCCUUCACCGUUGCCGCUGCACCAGUUCAAGCCACCUUGACUCUUGCUGGGAAAACACAGCAGCCCCUCACCUGGUCCCACGUGGCUGAGCAUCUCCUCCAAUUGACAGCUGAAUCUCAUCAGGCUGCCAUUCCACCCAGAUCCCUUCUGUGGGGCCCACUACAUGUAGUAAAUUACAGUGCCAGGUGUGAUGUGUGCACCUGUGUAGUCCCAGCACCUCGGGAGGCAGAGGUGAGAGGAUCACUGGAACCCAGGAGUUCAAGGCUGCAGUGAGCUAGGAUCGUGCCACUGCACUUCAGCCUGCGUAACAGAGCAAGACCUUAUCUAAAACAUAAAAUAAAAUAAUAAAAUAAAUUAAAUUAAAUAUAAGAAAAUAAAACACACAGUAGAAGGUGUGCUGUGGCCUCCGCAGCCUCCUUGGUCUGGCCUCAGCUGGCCUCACUGCCUCCUCUCAUACCAUGCCCCCCUCCUUACCCCAAGCUUAGGCCUCAUUUUCCUCAAAGAAGCCUGGGUCCUGUCUCAGAGCCUCGGGGCAUGCUUUCUUCCCUGCCCCUCGUUUCCACCCCAGUCACCUCCUGAUCCCUGUGCAUCCUUCAGAUCUCAGCUUGAGCACCAACCCUGAAGCCUGCAGCUGGAUCCCAUAAGUAUUUCCACAACACCCUGUACUUUUCCUACAUGCACCCCAGCAUCUUCAUACAAUAGGUGCUUAAUAAAUUGUCCAAUGACUGAAUCCUCACAAUAUCUCUAGAGAAGAUGGCAAGAUGCAGAGAGGAGGAGUCACGCCUGAAGCCACACAGCUGACAUCAGAGCCAAAGCAUGAGCCUCAGUCUCUCUGACCCAGAGCUACCACCCUUGCUGCCUUGGGAAGAAGGAAGCCCCCUCCUAUUCUAUCCUUGAGCUGCCUUGGCAAGGAGGGGCCCCUUGCUGCCGCCAUCCUCACAGGACACCAUCCACAUGAGGGGAUGGUGAGCUCCACUUCCACCUUUUCUACAUGUCUGCUCUUUAAACUGCACACGUUGAUUCAUUCAUUCAUUCAUUCAUUCAUUCCCUUGAUAUUACCAUUCAUUUAUUCAUCAAGUAUUUAUUGAGCAUAUUUAUCUGCAUGGCAUUGUGCUAAUCGUAAUCAUCAUAUUCACCACUGCUGAGCAGAACAGUCAGGGUGCUGCCCUCAGGGAGUUACCAUGUAGUAAAGGAGACAGAUGGAAUCACACAGAGGAAUGCACGUCUGAUUGUAGCCUGACUGGAGUGCCAUGAAGGAGACCAAGAGGGCAGGGUGAUGGAGAAAGCACAGGAUGAAGUUCUCGUCUUCCUUCCAACAGAAUCUCAGUUGCACUCAGUUGUUGCCCCCCUCGAACCUCCCUUGAGCCUCAGGAGAAACCACCCUGAUUCAGAGGUCCAGAGAAGACCUGACUAGCCCAAGGUAAUUCCGUCCCCUUGCCAGAGUGGCUUGGGCAGGGACACGGGACCUAUUUCAAUGAGGCCAAUGAGACAAAGGUAUUUCUGCUGGGGAGGCAGGGGCUUCAAGCAAAGGGUCUUGCUUGAAAGAGCCACCGGAAGAGGGCUCUCUCCUUCCUUAGGGUGUCACCGUGUCUGGAUGCGAUGCCUGGAAGUGCUACAGCCACUCGCGCCCAGCCUGAAGAUGAAACCAACCCCAAACACAGCCAAGCAGAGAGAUGGAAAGAACUAGGACCCUAAUUACACCACUGAGCAGCUAUAGCAACCAGUUCCAGAGCCCUCUGACUUCCCGCCAAAGUGAGAUGAUAAGAUACUGUUUAAUUUCUCUCUUUUAUAGCCAAACACACCAAAAUUGACACAGAGAUGUGAGCCAUACCUACUACUGUUACUGCUCCAUCCCUAGCUCCAACCACAGUGCAUGGUACAUGGUAGAGAGCCAACAAACACUUGAAGAAUGAAUGGUGCAUAUUGAGUGGGAUUUUCCAGAGGCAGACCUGGAGACAAGGCUUCAAGUGCGUGUGUUGUAUUAAGGAAAUGCUCCCAGGGGACAAUAGCAGAGUGGCAGAAAUGGGACAAGGGGGCCAGGGAGCCAAGAACAGAGAAUCAAUCGUCUAAACAGAGCCCCCUGUUUUUUGUUUCACCUGGGAGUAGCUUCUACCUGAUCCCCAGGGGAACUCUGGGAUGUCAGUGACGGCUCAGCAUUGCCCCUGAGGCAAGGGAGCUGGGCUUUCCUAAUCCCCCACUCCUCAGUCUCUGGCUAAGCGCUGUCCCCAGGGGACUUAAUCACCCAAACACUUCCCCAAGAGUGGCAUCUGCUGACCACUGGAGGCACUGGUACAGUGAAGCGACAGAAGGGAUCAGAGAGGGUCCAGGUGGAGCACAGCAAUGUGGCUGAAUAAUAACUAUAUUAAUUCAUAUAGUUAAUUCUCAAGCAAUGGCAAAGUGUAGGCAGCUUCUUGUCUGCAAACGUUUCCAUGAUAUCUCUCCUGCAGCCAGACGGGUCUUUUCCUGCCGCCUACACAGAAUGGCCAUGGAGCAUCCCCAACUCUUAUUAAAAUGGAAAAAAAAAAAGCCUUUGCAUUUCAAUCUAUUAUUGCACUUUAUGACUCAUCUUCAGGUUCUCUCUGCAAAACAUUGAAAGCCAGAUCAUAAUUUGAUGAUGAAAUAUUGAUUAUGCAUUUGUAUGCAGAGGUCUAUACUAUAUAGAUAGAAUUCCCACCCUGUAGUAUCUUCUAUUUUAAGUCAGUAUGAAGAUGGAUGUUCCCCCCAGGCAAAUUUUGAUAAGAUACUUGUGUCAAUACAAAAAGAGAUUAAUGCCAAUGUGAAUCAAUACCCGCUUAUUGGUUUGGGUUGCUUCUUCUCCACGCAGCAGCUGGCACCAAGAGGGGUUUCCAAACACCAGCGGCUCCCAGCCAAUCUGCAUAUUUCUUUAUUUAAAUCAUGAGAGUGGGAAGUGGCAAGGGAAUGGUGGGUUGGCAGGGGGCUGCCCACGCCCACUCCCAAAUUGAGAAGGGAAUGAAAAUAAAACAAACGCAACUUGUCAACAAAUCUGGGAGAAGCUUUAUUACCAUCAUUAGCAGUGUGCUUGUCCUCUGCUGCUUCCAAAAAGAAUAAACUUCAAAUGACAGAAGAAGAGCGGUCUCCAUCCUUGCUGGGUUCUCAGCGUACAGCAGGGACUGGGCUUAUCUUGACUGUGCAUCUGCUGUGUUUCCUGCCCAGCCCCCACUGCCACCUGCAAUGCCCUAUAUUUAGUGCUUCUUUAAAAUCUCAUUUAUC
This 3888-nucleotide long non-coding RNA is filed under the name Homo sapiens (human). RNAcentral's name for it is "non-protein coding lnc-C16orf78-5:15". The record is from RNAcentral. Lineage: Eukaryota; Metazoa; Chordata; Mammalia; Primates; Hominidae.